Molecule: long non-coding RNA, 1032 nt
Organism: Erinaceus europaeus (western European hedgehog)
Lineage: Eukaryota; Metazoa; Chordata; Mammalia; Eulipotyphla; Erinaceidae
Exons: 2
Source: RefSeq, a predicted model, not a curated record
CCAGUGACAGCUCUUCUUGACCUUAAUGGAAGGGUCAUCUUCCAAGAAUGAUCUUUUGGGCAGUCUUAAGAAUACCAGUCUCGUGGUCUGUGAGGUGGUGCAGCAGAUAAAGCGCUUGACUCUCAAGCGUGAGGUCCUGAGUUCAAUCCCCGGCAGUACAUGUACCAGAUGAUGUCUGGUUCAUUCUCUCCUCCUAUCUUUCUCAUCAGUCAAUCAAUAAAUAAAAUCUUUAGAAAAAAGAAUACCAGUGUCUAAUUUGGGGUUUGUCAAAGAUAGCAUGCGCUUUUAAAAAUUACAUUUAUUCCCACCUGCAGGAGGAGGAGUUUCACAAAUGAUGAAGCAAUGCUGAGGGUGUCUAUUUCUUUCUUUCUUCCUUCCUUUUAAAAAAGAUUUUAUUUAUUGAUUGAUGAGAAAGAUAGGAGAGAGAAAGAACCAGAUGUCUCUCUGGAGAGGAGAGAAAGUGAUCUCUGCUUGAGAGUCUUAACGCAUCAGCCACUGCGCCACCUCCCGGGCCACUCUGUCCAUUUCUAUUUCCCCCAUCUCAAUUUCUCUUUCUCUAUGCAAAAUAAACAUUUCCUCCCCCAAAAUAAAUAUUUAAGAUAAAUAAAAAUAAGAAGAAAGUCUAUCUUAGAGCUAGCCCACCAGGGUUAAAAUAACUGCCAUUCCCUAUCUGCACACAAUCAAGCAAGAGUCUCACUGCACCUCUGUUUCCUCACCUCAAGCUGUCGUACAGGGGUCAGGGGAUGGCCCACUCGGUAGGGAGUGUGUCUUGCCGUGCAUGUGGUUUGGGGUCAAACCCUGGAACCUCAUGGGAGUGCCACUGCAGUGAGCUCUUUGCAUUUGCAGGCAGUAAACUGGUAUCAUGGGGGAAUGAAAAGUAGUAAAUCAAGGAAUCAGUACCAUGCCAUAUCUUAGAGGAGUUACGUCAAUAAGGGACACUUGUUUGCUUUGUAUAUGGGACCUAGAAUAAGACUUAUUCUUCAAGAGUUUGACGGAUGUAUGUUCAAUAAACUGCUGUUGUAUAACCCUCAA